GAGCUCUCCAUUGGGGUCUCCAUGAAGAGUGGGUGGAGGAGGAGGAUGGAGCGGAGUGACGUGUUGUACCUCCUGCAAGCAGAGGUCUCCACAAGGGGGGGCACUACCAGCAGCACGGAGCACUUUGUGGGAUGUCACUACCUCCACGCGGCACCUCGGCCCGGAGUCGCUGCUGAGUUCUGCGUCCGCGUGAGAGUCGCAGUCAACUACCCGCGGAGGAAGACAGGGGAGUGGUCUCCCCUGUCCUGUGUCUCCUUCCCUCCACCACACAGCGCCGUGGCUGCUGCUGGGAUCACCGUGUGGGCCACGGGAGACACGGUGAGCGAGGGAGACACGGCAACUCUCCGCUGUGCGGCGUCCGACAAUCCGCAGUCGGACGCAAUCCAGUGGAGCAACCCUCACGGCGAGACGCUCUACUUCCAGAGCGUCAAGGGUGAGCGGCAAACGCCGUCUCUCUGUGUCUCUGUUUUGUCUCUCUGUCUCUCUGUGUCUCUCUGUCUCUC
Molecule: long non-coding RNA, 503 nt
Organism: Lethenteron reissneri (Far Eastern brook lamprey)
Lineage: Eukaryota; Metazoa; Chordata; Hyperoartia; Petromyzontiformes; Petromyzontidae
Source: RefSeq, a predicted model, not a curated record